Molecule: ribosomal RNA, 465 nt
Filed under: Vreelandella stevensii
Lineage: Bacteria; Pseudomonadati; Pseudomonadota; Gammaproteobacteria; Oceanospirillales; Halomonadaceae
Description: partial 16S ribosomal RNA
Rfam family: Bacterial small subunit ribosomal RNA
Source: RNAcentral
CCUACGGGUGGCAGCAGUGGGGAAUAUUGGACAAUGGGCGAAAGCCUGAUCCAGCCAUGUCGCGUGUGUGAAGAAGGCCUUCGGGUCGUAAAGCACUUUCAGUGGGGAAGAAAGCCUUGGGGCUAAUACCCUCGAGGAAGGACAUCACCCACAGAAGAAGCACCGGCUAACUCCGUGCCAGCAGCCGCGGUAAUACGGAGGGUGCGAGCGUUAAUCGGAAUUACUGGGCGUAAAGCGCGCGUAGGCGGUCUGAUAAGCCGGUUGUGAAAGCCCCGGGCUCAACCUGGGAACGGCAUCCGGAACUGUCAGGCUAGAGUGCAGGAGAGGAAGGUAGAAUUCCCGGUGUAGCGGUGAAAUGCGUAGAGAUCGGGAGGAAUACCAGUGGCGAAGGCGGCCUUCUGGACUGACACUGACGCUGAGGUGCGAAAGCGUGGGUAGCAAACAGGAUUAGAUACCCGAGUAGUC